GGUCGAUGGUCUUUCGCCCUAUACUCAAUUCUGACAAUCGAUUUGCACGUCAGAACUGUUUCGGUCUUCCAUCAGAGUUUCCCCUGACUUCAACCUGAUCAAGUAUAGUUCACCAUCUUUCGGGUCACAGCAUAUGUGCUCAAGGUACGCUCUAGUUAGAGGCAUAAAUAAUAUAAAAUAUUAUUAUACAUAACUGUAUAGAACGCCCCGGGAUUGUAUUAAUUAUCUAAUAAAAUUAGAUUAAAAAUUAAUCCCAUUUAAAUCAGUUAAGUUAAUUACGCCUUUGGGUUUCGUUAUGAUUCCCAAUGACUUGCACAUAUGUUAGACUCCUUGGUCCGUGUUUCAAGACGGGUCCCGAAGGUAUCCUGAAUCUUUCGCAUUGUAAAUCAUAUAUGCGCAUAUAAUAAUAUAAAUGAAUAAAUUCAAAUAUAUAUUAUAAAAUUCAUAAAAUGAAUUUAAGCACAAUAUAUAAUAAAUCUAUCAACACUUUAUCAAAUCACCAGAGCAUUUAUUCUAUGUUGAAUAAAUCGAAAUCUAUCAAUUUGAAUAAACUUAAGCCCAAAAUGAUCUUAUGAUAAAUUGUAAAUAAAAUACAUGUUAAUAGAUUACAAUGUCCUUAUAUGGGAAAAAUGCACACUAUUACAAUAAUAUUAUUUUAAAUAUUAUAUGUUAUAAUGAUGAAUUUCCCAUAAUGGAUAUUCAGGUUCAUCGGGCUUAACCUCUAAGCAGUUUCACGUACUAUUUAACUCUCUAUUCAGAGUUCUUUUCAACUUUCCCUCACGGUACUUGUUUACUAUCGGUCUCAUGGUUAUAUUUAGUUUUAGAUGGAGUUUACCACCCACUUAGUGCUGCACUAUCAAGCAACACGACUCUUUGGAAACAUCUUCUAGCAAUCAUCAAUGUUAUACGGGCCUGGCACCCUCUUUGGGUAAAUGGCCUCAUUUAAGAAGGACUUAAAUCAUCAAUUUUUCAUACUAGAAUAUAGAUGUUCCAUACACUGCAUCUCACAUUUGCCAUAAAGACAAAGUGACUUAGUGCUGAACUAUU
RNAcentral lists this ribosomal RNA (1047 nucleotides) under Odinia sp. Odb-1. RNAcentral's name for it is "partial 28S ribosomal RNA". Lineage: Eukaryota; Metazoa; Arthropoda; Insecta; Diptera; Odiniidae. The record is from RNAcentral.